This 253-nucleotide ribosomal RNA is filed under the name uncultured bacterium. RNAcentral's name for it is "partial 16S ribosomal RNA". It matches the Rfam family "Bacterial small subunit ribosomal RNA", at positions 524 to 776 of the family's 1533-position model. The record is from RNAcentral.
UACAGAGGGUGCGAGCGUUGUUCGGAAUUACUGGGCGUAAAGCGCACGUAGGCGGAUUUGUAAGUCAGGGGUGAAAUCCCGGGGCUCAACCUCGGAACUGCCUUUGAUACUGCAAAUCUCGAGUCCGGAAGAGGUGAGUGGAAUUCCUAGUGUAGAGGUGAAAUUCGUAGAUAUUAGGAAGAACACCAGUGGCGAAGGCGGCUCACUGGACCGGUACUGACGCUGAGGCGCGAAAGCGUGGGGAGCAAACAGG